This 187-nucleotide ribosomal RNA is filed under the name Plectus sp. RNAcentral describes it as "partial small subunit ribosomal RNA". The record is from RNAcentral. Lineage: Eukaryota; Metazoa; Nematoda; Chromadorea; Plectida; Plectidae.
GGGUGUNUNGGGUGGCUAGCGAGUUUACUUUGAAAAAAUUAGAGUGCUUAACACAGGCUAACGCCUGAAUACUCGUGCAUGGAAUAAUAGAAUAAGACCACGGNUCUAAUUAUCAUAAUGACGACUUUCCUCAUUUGUUGCAAAUGCNUUGGUGCCCNANAGAUGCNGAACUACNCCUGGGCAAGAC